AUUGAGUGGGGAGUAACGUAGCGAAAGUUGCGCUAAUACCGCAUAUUCUGUGAGCAGGAAAGCAGGGACCGCAAGGCCUUGCGCUCUUUGAGCGGCCGAUGUCAGAUUAGCUAGUUGGUGAGGUAAAGGCUUACCAAGGCGACGAUCUGUAGCGGGUCUGAGAGGAUGACCGUUUCCACACUGGAACUGAGACACGGUCCAGACUCCUACGGGAGGCAGCAGUGGGGAAUUUUGGACAAUGGGGCAACCCUGAUCCAGCCAUGCCGCGUGAGUGAAGAAGGCCUUCGGGUUGUAAAGCUCUUUCGGCCGGGAAGAAAUCGCAUGGGUGAAUACCCUGUGUGGAUGACGGUACCGGAACAAGAAGCACCGGCUAACUACGUG
This 381-nucleotide ribosomal RNA is filed under the name uncultured bacterium. Its description in RNAcentral is "bacterial SSU rRNA". It matches the Rfam family "Bacterial small subunit ribosomal RNA", at positions 131 to 507 of the family's 1533-position model. The record is from RNAcentral.